AUACGGAGGGUCCGAGCGUUAUCCGGAAUCAUUGGGUUUAAAGGGUCCGUAGGCGGGCAGCGCAGUCAGUGGUGAAAGUUUGCAGCUCAACUGUAAAAUUGCCAUUGAUACUGGUUGUCUUGAAUUAAUGUGAAGUGGUUAGAAUAAGUAGUGUAGCGGUGAAAUGCAUAGAUAUUACUUAGAAUACCAAUUGCGAAGGCAGAUCACUAACAUUAUAUUGACGCUGAUGGACGAAAGCGUGGGGAGCGAACAGGAUUAGAAACCCUAGUAGUCC
RNAcentral lists this ribosomal RNA (274 nucleotides) under uncultured bacterium. RNAcentral's name for it is "partial 16S ribosomal RNA". It matches the Rfam family "Bacterial small subunit ribosomal RNA", at positions 523 to 796 of the family's 1533-position model. The record is from RNAcentral.